Molecule: ribosomal RNA, 492 nt
Filed under: uncultured bacterium
Lineage: Bacteria
Description: partial 16S ribosomal RNA
Rfam family: Bacterial small subunit ribosomal RNA
Source: RNAcentral
AGUGAACGCUGGCGGUAGGCCUAACACAUGCAAGUCGAACGGCAGCACAGUAAGAGCUUGCUCUUACGGGUGGCGAGUGGCGGACGGGUGAGGAAUACAUCGGAAUCUACUUUUUCGUGGGGGAUAACGUAGGGAAACUUACGCUAAUACCGCAUACGGCCUACGGGUGAAAGCAGGGGAUCUUCGGACCUUGCGCGAUUGAAUGAGCCGAUGUCGGAUUAGCUAGUUGGCGGGGUAAAGGCCCACCAAGGCGACGAUCCGUAGCUGGUCUGAGAGGAUGAUCAGCCACACUGGAACUGAGACACGGUCCAGACUCCUACGGGAGGCAGUAGUGGGGAAUAUUGGACAAUGGGCGCAAGCCUGAUCCAGCCAUACCGCGUGGGUGAAGAAGGCCUUCGGGUUGUAAAGCCCUUUUGUUGGGAAAGAAAAGCAGCAGGUUAAUACCCCGCUGUUCUGACGGUACCCAAAGAAUAAGCACCGGCUAACUUCGUG